UUUCCGGUGGCCAUAGUGGAAGGGAAACACCCGGUCCCAUUCCGAACCCGGUCGUUAAGCCUUCCAACGCUGAUGGUACUGCACGAGGGAUCGUGUGGGAGAGUAAGACGCUGCCGGAA
This 119-nucleotide ribosomal RNA is filed under the name Cutibacterium avidum. Lineage: Bacteria; Bacillati; Actinomycetota; Actinomycetes; Propionibacteriales; Propionibacteriaceae. The record is from RNAcentral.